CCUACGGGUGGCAGCAGUGGGGAAUAUUGCGCAAUGGGCGAAAGCCUGACGCAGCGACGCCGCGUGAGGGAUGAAGGUCUUCGGAUCGUAAACCUCUGUCAGCAGGGAAGAACGGUCACGGUGCUAAUCAGCAGUGAAUUGACGGUACCGGCAAAGGAAGCACCGGCUAACUCCGUGCCAGCAGCCGCGGUAAUACGGAGGAUGCGAGCGUUAUCCGGAUUUAUUGGGUGUAAAGGGUGCGUAGGCGGAAGGCCAAGUCAGCGGUAAAAUCGCGGGGCUCAACCUCGCUCCGCCGUUGAAACUUUCGUUCUUGAGUGUUGGAGUGGCAGGCGGAAUUCCGUGUGUAGCGGUGAAAUGCGUAGAUAUCCGGAGGAACACCAGUGGCGAAGGCGGCCUGCUGGACAAUAACUGACGCUGAGGCGCGAAAGCGUGGGGAGCAAACAGGAUUAGAUACCCUUGUAGUC
This 464-nucleotide ribosomal RNA is filed under the name uncultured bacterium. Its description in RNAcentral is "partial 16S ribosomal RNA". It matches the Rfam family "Bacterial small subunit ribosomal RNA", at positions 338 to 795 of the family's 1533-position model. The record is from RNAcentral.